This 244-nucleotide ribosomal RNA is filed under the name uncultured bacterium. RNAcentral describes it as "partial 16S ribosomal RNA". It matches the Rfam family "Bacterial small subunit ribosomal RNA", at positions 524 to 768 of the family's 1533-position model. The record is from RNAcentral.
GACGUAGGGGCGAGCGUUGUCCGGAUUCACUGGGCGUAAAGCGCGUGCAGGCGGCCUGUUAAGUCCCGUGUGAAAGCCUUCGGCUCAACCGGAGGAGGUCGCGGGAAACUGGCGGGCUUGAGGGUGGUAGAGGGUGGUGGAAUUCCCGGUGUAGCGGUGAAAUGCGUAGAUAUCGGGAGGAACGCCAGUGGCGAAGGCGGCCACCUGGGCCAUCCCUGACGCUGAGACGCGAAAGCUGGGGGGA